This 495-nucleotide ribosomal RNA is filed under the name Nymphon sp. 1 ARM-2007. Its description in RNAcentral is "partial 16S ribosomal RNA". It matches the Rfam family "Bacterial large subunit ribosomal RNA", at positions 1808 to 2599 of the family's 2925-position model. The record is from RNAcentral. Lineage: Eukaryota; Metazoa; Arthropoda; Pycnogonida; Pantopoda; Nymphonidae.
CAAAAACAUAGCUUUUUGUUAUAAAUAAAAAGUAGGGUCUGCCCAGUGAGUAAUUUUAACGGCCGCAAUAUUUGUGCGAAGGUAGCAUAAUCAUUUGUCUUUUAAUUGAUGACUGGAAUGAAUGGCUGGACGGGGAUAAGCUGUCUUAUAUAUAUAUAUUUGAAAUUUACUUUUAAGUAAAAAGGCUUAAAUGGUUUAGAGGGACGAGAAGACCCUAUUGAGUUUAAUAGAAUUUAUUUAAAUUUUUCUUAAAUUUUUAUAUAAUCUAUUUAGUUGGGGAGAUUUGAUAUUAUUAACUAUAUAAGAAUUAAUAGACUUUAAGUUUUUAGGAUCCAUAUUUAAUGAUUACUAAGAUAAAUUACCUUAGGGAUAACAGCGUAAUAUUUUUUUAGAGUUCAAAUCGAUUAAAAUGAUUACGACCUCGAUGUUGGAUUAAAGAACCUAAUUUGGAGAAGAUUUUAAUUUAGGUAGUCUGUACGACUAUUAAAUCUUUAC